AAAGACCCUAUGAAGCUUGACUGUAGUCUGGAAUGGAAUUCGGGCUUUUCUUGCGCAGCCUAGGUGGGAGGCGUUGAAGAUUUCCUUCCGGGGAAAUCAGAGCCAUCAGUGAGAGACCACUCUGGGAAGGCUAGAAUUCUAAGGGCGAUCCUUGAAUCAGGACGCUUGACAGUUUCAGAUGGGCAGUUUCUCUGGGGCGGAGAUCUCCUAAAAGGUAACGGAGGUGCGCAACGGUCCCCUCAGUCUGGACGGAAAUCAGACAGCGAGUGUAAAGGCAAAAGGGGGCUUGACUGUAAGACCUACAAGUCGAACAGGGGCGAAAGCCGGCCUUAGUGAUCCGACGGUGCUGUGUGGAAAGGCCGUCGCUCAACGGAUAAAAGUUACUCUAGGGAUAACAGGCUGA
RNAcentral lists this ribosomal RNA (403 nucleotides) under Monoraphidium minutum. RNAcentral's name for it is "partial large subunit ribosomal RNA". It matches the Rfam family "Bacterial large subunit ribosomal RNA", at positions 2084 to 2485 of the family's 2925-position model. RNAcentral also lists the same sequence under 2 other names. Lineage: Eukaryota; Viridiplantae; Chlorophyta; Chlorophyceae; Sphaeropleales; Selenastraceae. The record is from RNAcentral.